GACGAACGCUGGCGGCGUGCUUAACACAUGCAAGUCGAGCGGUAAGGCCCUUUCGGGGGUACACGAGCGGCGAACGGGUGAGUAACACGUGGGUGACCUGCCCUCAGCUCUGGGAUAAGCCUGGGAAACCGGGUCUAAUACUGGAUAUGACUCCAUGACGCAUGUUGUGGGGUGGAAAGCCUUGUGCGGCUGAGGAUGGGCCCGCGGCCUAUCAGCUUGUUGGUGGGGUGAUGGCCUACCAAGGCGACGACGGGUAGCCGGCCUGAGAGGGCGACCGGCCACACUGGGACUGAGACACGGCCCAGACUCCUACGGGAGGCAGCAGUGGGGAAUAUUGCGCAAUGGCCGAAAGGCUGACGCAGCGACGCCGCGUGUGGGAUGAAGGCCUCGGUU
Molecule: ribosomal RNA, 393 nt
Filed under: uncultured bacterium
Lineage: Bacteria
Description: bacterial SSU rRNA
Rfam family: Bacterial small subunit ribosomal RNA
Source: RNAcentral